RNAcentral lists this ribosomal RNA (250 nucleotides) under uncultured bacterium. Its description in RNAcentral is "partial 16S ribosomal RNA". It matches the Rfam family "Bacterial small subunit ribosomal RNA", at positions 524 to 773 of the family's 1533-position model. The record is from RNAcentral.
UACGUAGGGUGCGAGCGUUAAUCGGAAUUACUGGGCGUAAAGCGUGCGCAGGCGGUUUGAUAAGACAGGCGUGAAAUCCCCGAGCUUAACUUGGGAAUGGCGCUUGUGACUGUCAGGCUAGAGUAUGUCAGAGGGGGGUAGAAUUCCACGUGUAGCAGUGAAAUGCGUAGAGAUGUGGAGGAAUACCGAUGGCGAAGGCAGCCCCCUGGGACGUCACUGACGCUCAUGCACGAAAGCGUGGGGAGCAAAC